AUGUGUUUCAACUGGGGGCAGGCGCAGAACCACGGCAUAGGGAAAAAUUUAAAGGCAUAGUUGCGGGAGAAACAGCCACCUAAUUCUCAUUAGGCGCGAACCCGAGUAGGUGGGCACCAGGAGAUACUGCGCUUGCGCCCGCAGCCUCAGCUGUGGAAAGAGGGGAUGUGCAGGUUGGGGGAAAAUAACGGGACUCAAUCCGUUGUGGCUGGCCCACGGAGGCCGUGUGUGCCCACUCAGGGGUAGGGAGAUUUCAUAGAAUAAGAUUUACACCGGAUCGGGUAGGGAGAUAGGAUGAUAAUUUCUUCUGUGAACUCUCCCUACCUCUUAGUGCGUACGCGCGGACCCAGAUCAUCAAGGGCAUCCUGGUUGGUAUCAAUCAGGUUAGUCUCUCCCUCCUUCCAACACUCUCAGCCAUCCAGUGGGCAGUGUAUUGAGAGGUGGCUGAGCAGUACAUGGAGGGGCUCCCAAUUCUUUUAUUUAACCCCUUUAAAGGACCACUCUAGGCACCCAGACCACUUCAGCUUAAUGAAGUGGUCUGGGUGCCUGGUCCAGCUAGGGUUAACCCAGUUUUUCAUAAACAUAGCAGUUUCAGAGAAACUACUAUGUUUAUGAAUGGGUUAAGCCUUCCCGCUUGCGUGCUUCUCACUGUGAUUUUCACAGUGAGAGCAUGCAAGCGUCCAUAGGAAAGCAUUAUGAAUGCUUUCCUAUGUGACCGGCUGAAUGCGCGCGCAGCCAGCCGACGGGGAGGAGAGAAGGAGGAUCGGAGGAGGAGACCUCUCCGCCCAGCGCUGGAAAAAAGGUAAGUUUUAACCCCUUUCCAGAGCCGGCGGGAGGGGGACCCUGAGGGUGAGGGCACACUCAGGGCACUAUAGUGCCAGGAAAACAAGUAUGUUUUCCUGGCACUAUAGUAGUCCUUUAAGGACAGAGUUUCAGAAGCUUGCCUUGCAGUUAAUGACAACAGCAUUUUUUUGCUGUUUACAUUCAACUGCAAUUUGCAUUUUACUAAUGUAUUGCACCGACACACAUUAUAUACCGUUUUUUAAAGGACAGAAAGGGCUUUAGUUUGAUGUAACACAAAUAUAUAUAUGUGUGUGUGUGUAUGUAUGUAUAUAUAUAUAUAUAUAUAUAUAUAUAUAUAUAUAUUUUAUUUUUUUCAGAAAAAUUGGGGAAAAGAGACAUUUUGUGUUUUUUUACAGUUUUGCAAUAAUAAUGUGUGCAUAGUAUUACAGGUUAAAGUAAUUAAAAAUAAAUUCAUUUAGUUCUGAUUUACAGAAUAUAUAAUGUGUCUGGGAUUUUAAGGUUUUUUUUUUUUUUGGUAGUUAAAGGUCACAAAGCACAAUGAGUAAAAUAAACUUUUAAUGUGGAGCGAUUUUAGAAUUUGGUAUGUUUGUCUUGUAAGCUUAAUAGCCAUAAAAGAAAACAAAAGUGUGUGUGUGUGUGUGUGUGUGUAUAUAUAUAUAUGUAUGUAUGUGUCAAUAAUAUAUUGAAAAUCCAGCGCACUCGCUUAUCUACUAAACAGUCAUUUUAAUGCUGAAAAUUGUUCAGCAUUAAAAUGACUGUUUAGUAGAUAAGCGAGUGCGCUGGAUUUUCAUUUUUACUGUACUUAUUGGCCCCCAGCAGCACCCUAAUUUAGCAUGUGUAGGUGAGUGCAGCCAAACCCUUAUUUUCUCAUGUGUGUGUGUGUGUGUGUAUGUAUGUAUGUAUGUAUGUAUGUAUAUAUAUAUAUAUAUAUAUGUGUGUGUGUGUGUGUGUCAUCACAGGCUAUUGUCCUACGGUUGUUUUGACACUUUCUACGUAGCCAUUUUACCGCCAAUCUCUGCUAAAUAUUGGAGUAAAAUUGUGUUGUUUUUUUGCCACACAAACUUAUAACAAAGAACUUCUUGUGUGUAUUUUGUAAAGUUGGUGUGUGCUAUUCCUUUACACAACUAUUUUGUGUUCAGCUACAUCUGCUGAGUACAACGAUACUCCCAUUGUAUGUCUUUGGCACUAUUUCGUAAAGCUGAUGUGCCAUAUGGGAGACCUGUCCUUUUCAGUAUUUACAGUAGACUUUUGAGAGACGGAUUUAAUGGGCCAAUGCUUCCGUAUGGAGUAUUAUAGCAGUUUGACUGUUAAAAAAACGCCACAAAGGCCUACCAUUUCUAAAAGUAGACACUACAGGGUAUCUCAUAUGGUGCAUAUUGUGCCUUAAAGCGGCACUGUCAUGCCGAACUGACCUUUCCUCAAUCUUCUCCCCCUCUCUCAGGAUCUGUUCUUCUUUAGUUUUCUUUAAAAUCAUAAGAGAAAGUAGGGACUCUUUGCCUUAUGUAGGUUUCCUCCGCUUGACCAGCGGAGGAGCAAAGUGUGCUUCAUUUCCGCUGGUCAGAGCAAUUUUCCCAUAAUUCUUACCUUUCCUCUGUGAUCUUGCGAUGCUUCUCGUCAUUUUAGACGAAACUGCUGAAUUGCGUUCUAACUCAAUGAGAACAGUAUGAUCGUUUGUUUUAGAACUCAAUUCGGCACUUUGUUCGGAUCGGAAAUUCCUUCUAAUGGAUGAAACUCCAAUCCUAUUCAUUGCCGCGGCUGCAUCUUGCAGCCGUUUAGUAGAUAACUCCUUAAUUCCCACGGUAUCAGGGAGUUAUCUACUAAAAGGCUUAAAGACCUAAAUUGGUCUUUCAGCCACAUUUACGAAUACUAAGUAAAGAUUACUUAGUAUUAGUAAAUUCAGCCCCUACUCGCUAUACCGCGAGUAGGGGCAUGACUAGUAAGCAGUGAGCAGCCUGUGGCUCCUCACUGUAAAAAAAAUUAAAAAAUAAUAAUAAUAUUGGCCCCCACCCGUGAGCGGUGGGUGGGGGCCAUAAUGGACAUUCGGGUGGGGACCUACUGUCCUCCCCCCAGUCCCCACCCCUGCGCGGUGGGUGGGGGUCAUAAAUUACAAUGGGGGACCUACUGUCUCCCCCCAGACCCCACCCUUGAGCGGUGGGUGGGGGCCAUAAAUUACCAUGGGGGGGGACCUACUGUGGGGGCCAUAAAGAUUAUGGGGGGGACCUACUGUCCUCCCCCCAGCCCCCACCCUUGAGCGGUGGGUGGCGGCCAUAAAUUACAAUGGGGGGGACCUACUGUCCUCCCACCCUUGAGCGGUGGGGGCCAUAAAGAUAAUGGGGGGGACCUACUGGGCGGCGGGUGGGGGCCUUAAGACAAAUUCCCCCCCUCCCCUCAUCAAAGGUGACUAGGGGUCCCCAAGCCCCUAGUCACUCACCCAAAAAAAAGUAACCCCCUACCUAAUCUCCCUUAUGCUAAUAUGGGGUCAUAUUGAAGUGGCGGAGAGCACAGCUCCCUGCCGCUUCUAUCUUUACAUAUUACAAGGAGGUAGCUGCGCGCCGAUACUCAGUGUUUGUUUGUUCGUCUGAAAUAUUCAUUCGUUCGUCUUUCUGACGAAUGAAUGAAUAGACGAAAUUCCCGUUCGCAUGUCCAAGUGUUUACCUGGGCAUGUGCGGGAAUCUCACAGUCUGAAUAUAGAUCGGGGCAGAAAAUAAAGAUUAAAAAAUAGGUAAUCUGGGGGGGCUUAGGAGCAUUUGGGGGUGACUACGGGGUCGGUUAGAGGUAGUGGAGGGGGGGGAUAAAAAAAAAAAAAAAACGCACGCCCGGGAGGUGAUGCGUUCCACCAAAAGUUAAUGAGCAAAUGCGCAUACCAAAACUUAAUUUAAAAAAAAAAAAAAAGCCGCGAAAUUUGAUGCUCGGCGUAGAUGAAGCUGUGCAGUACCCACUGACAGCAUGGAUGCUUGCCAGAAGUGGUACGCCGUGUCACCAGCCCCCCACACGGCUCAGAGGCAUUUUGAGGUAAGAUCAAUUAAUCUUUCCUUCAAAAUGAUCUCUGUAAUAGUUUAUACACUUAAUUUACAAGGAGUAUGAAGCUACGAGGAAAAGAAGAGGACGAAGAGUGGAAACAAGCUUUUAUUUCAGGAUGAGUAAUGUUUUGGACCACUUUCCCUAUAGUGAAAGUUUCAGCAUUUAAUCCCUAUGGACAUAUGGCUGAUAUCUCCUGCAAAAGACACAGUGUGUGUCCACUAUAUGCUCUAUGUAUGAGUACUGUGAGCAGUGUAUAUACCCACUAUAUGCUCUAUGCCGAAUUACUGUGAGCAGUACUUGUGCUCACUAUAUGCUCUAUGAAGAAUUACUGGGAGCAAUAUAUGUGCCCACUAUAUGCUCUAUGACGAGUUACUGGGAGCAAUAUAUGUACCCACUAUAUGCUCUAUGACGAGUUACUAUGAGCAGUAUAUGUACCCACUAUAUGCUCUAUGAUGAGUUACUAUGAGCAGUAUAUGUACCCACUAUAUGCUCUAUGAUGAGUUACUAUGAGCAGUAUAUGUACCCACUAUAUGCUCUAUGACGAGUUGCUGUGAACAGUAAAUGUACCCAGUAUAUGCUCUGACGAGUUGCUGUGAACAGUAAAUGUACCCACUUUAUGCUCUAUGACGAGUUGCUGUGAGCAGUAAAUGUACCCACUAUAUGCUCUAUGACGAGUUGCUGUGAGCAGUAAAUGUACCCACUAUAUGCUCUGACGGGUGGCUGGGAAGACUCCGCUUCAGUAUAUGUAUCCACUAUAUGCUCUGUGCAAAGUUUCUAUGAGGGCUCAGCCUCAGUAUGUGUACACACUAUAGGCUCUUUGUAUGAGUUUUUAUGAGGACAAAACCUCUAUAGAUAUAUCCACUAUAUGUUCUAUGACGCCUUGAUAUGUAUCCACUUAAUGCGCUAUGUAUAGUUUCUAUGAGGACUCAGCCUCAGUAGAUUUACCCACUAUAUGCUCUAUGACGAGUUGUAGUGUGGACUCUACUUCAGUAUUUGUAUUCAUUAUAUGCACAAUGCACUAUGUAUGAGUUCUGAGGACUCAUCCUCCGUAAAUGCUCUAUUUAGGAGUUACUGUGAGGACUCAGUAUAUUUAUCUACUAUUUGCUAUGAGUAUUACGAGGACUCAGCCUCUGUAUAUGUAUCCACUAUAUACUCUGUAUCCUCUAUAUGCUUUAUGUAUGAGGUCCUGGGAAGACCGGGCCUCAGUAUAUGUCUUCACCAAAUGCUCUAUGGAUGAGUUACCAGGAGGUUACUGCCUCAGUUUAUGUAUCCUUAUUAGGCUCUAUAAAUGAGCUUCUGUGAGGACGCCGCCUCGGUAUAUGUAUCCACAGGAGCUGCGUAACCUUGGUAUAUAGCAUAUAUUGUCUAGGUAUGUUUUCUGUAUGAACAGAUUCAGUAUAUGUGAUUGAUAUCUCAGGGCAUUAUGGACGGUUAUGAGACAACCACAAGGUAUGUGAUUUCAGAGCAAACCUAUCAGACAGCUUUACUAGCAGGAGCUGCCAUAACCGGAGAUAUUGUUUUUUUGUUUGUUUUUUUCCUUUUUUUGCUCAACGCACUGCAGAACAUAAUUCCUGGAGACAGGAUUAAUCUCUGCUCCAAGAAUUUGCAGUUGUCAAAGGAAAAUCCCUUUUUCUCUUUAUGAUUGUGGAUGUUUGGUAGUUUAUGGUUGCGAUCAUAGAUGACUGAUACCGCAUCAAAAUCGGUCCUUUGUGAGCUUCCCUUGGGUAAGCAGAAACUGUUUGGGUCUCACUUGAAGAAAUCUUAUCACAAUUCAGAGACUAAGAAUAUACUGAGCAAAUUCCCAUAAAUUGAAACAGGAGAUUAGAGUGUGGCCGCAGUACUUUCUAAAGAAAGUAAAGUUGUGUAAAUAAUGGCGAUUAUAUUUUUGGGAGAUCAGACGGAGCAAACAGAGGGAAACAUUGCUGACGCUGACAAUUCUACCAGCAAUACAUAAAUUUUAUUUCUGAUUCAAAAGAGUUCCUAGAUCUCGUGUUCAAGUCAAACACAUUGUUGGUUUUCUCGCCUCUAUCAUAGAAGUAAGGGAGUUGGUAGUAGCGGGUCCGUUUUUCGAAUUAGAUAGUUCCUUUCAGGAGGCUUGUCUUUCGUCUAAAGAUCUUGUUGGGGAUCACUACAGAUGCUCUUAUCUAGUUUCGUGGUAAUGGUUAAGGGAGAAUCCGCAGACUUGGGGUUUAAAGCUGUACUUCCCGCCCUUCAUCUCUUCAGUCCGUGGAUACAUCGGAAGGCUGUAAAAAUUCAUACAAUCACUUGUCCAAAGGUUUUGAUACGUCAUCCGGCGGGGAAAACCAGAGUAGGCACUCUUUCUCGCCUGUAUGCGGUUAUCUUGCUGAGGUGCAAAAUUAUCUAGCAGAUCUUUCGGUAGUUCAAUUCAGAGGGAUUGACAGUGACAUAGCCGUCGAGCUCAGAAAAGGAAAUUGGAAUCAGGAGUUUGGUCCUUAGGUCCAUGUAAUUUUUACAGUCUGGAGAGGAAAUUUGGUGUUCCAGACAUGGCCCUGUUGGCAAGCAUUACAAAAACAUUCAUUGUAAUGUAAUGUCAGGCUGGCAUGCAUCUUUCUUCCGCUAUUUCCAAGUUGUCUUCGAAAAUUAAGGCUGUCGGAGCCUGGUUCUUAUUCCAUUCUGGCCAUACAAGGUUCUGGUUCCCGACGUUCAAGAAGAUGGCCUCCACACAGUGGUAACUUAGUAUUAGUGGUAGUAUUUGUAAAUUCAGCCCCUACUCGCUAUGCCGCGAGUAGGGGCAUGUCUAGUAAGCAGUGAGCAGCCUGUGGCUACUCACUGUAAAAAAAAUAAAAAAAAAUAAUAAUAUUGGCCCCCACCCGUGAGCGGUGGGUGGGGGCCAUAAUGGACAUUCGGGUGGGGACCUACUGUCUCCCCCCAGACUCCACCCUUGAGCGGUGGGUGGGGGCCAUAAAUUACAAUGGGGGGGGACCUACUGUCCUCCCAUCCUUGAGCGGUGGGGGGGGACUUACUGUCCUCCCCCCAGCCCCCACCCUUGAGUGGUGGGUGGGGGCCAUAAAGAUAAUGGGGGGGGACCUACUGGGCGGCGGGUGGGGGCCUUAAGACAAAUUCCCCCCCUCCCCUCAUCAAAGGUGACUAGGGGUCCCCAAGCCCUUAGUCACUCACCCAAAAAAAAGUAACCCCCUACCUAAUCUCCCUUAUGCUAAUAUGGGGUCAUAUUGACCCCCAUAGAGUGAGGGGGGGACCUGGGGGGCUUAUGAAGUGGCGGAGAGCACAGCUCCCUGCCGCUUCUAUCUUUACAUAUUACAAGGAGGUAGCUGCGCACCGAUACUCAGUGUUUGUUUGUUCGUCUGAAAUAUUCAUUCGUUCGUCUUUCUGACGAAUGAAUGAAUAGACGAAAUUCCCGUUCGCAUGUCCAAGUGUUUACCUGGGCAUGUGCGGGAAUCUCACAGUCUAUAAUUAAAAAAUAUUAAAAUAAGUAUAAUGAAAUUAAAAAGCUGCUCCCUUCUCAGACUCCUAUCCUUGCCUGCAAAACUUCUCACACUAACACCCUCCCUUCACAAUCACACACAAUGAACCCCACACACUGUACCCCUUAAUCGCUGCACGCCUUACAAUCACACACACUGCACCCAUUUGUAUUUGUGUGUGUGUAUGUAUGUGUGUGUAUAGCGCGCUCUCUCUCUCUCUCUCUCUCUCUCUCUCUCUCUCUCUCUCUCUCUCUAUCUAUAUAUAUAUAUAUAUAUAUAUAUAUAUAUAUAUAUAUAUAUACAUACACACGUGGCGUGUGUUUGUACUUUAGGGUGCACACCCUAAUGCAAUAGGCUGCACACGCCUAUGACCAGUAUCUAAAGUAAUGGUGUGAUCUCUGUGGUGGGGACAAUUGUAACAAAAACUUAACGUAUAAGCAAAAUGGCUAUAUACAUAAAUUCCUUGGCCUUAUAAGGCUACUCCUAUAUUAGAUGAAACAGGUUUACCACACAGUAUACAUGACUGGCUUAAUUGUCGGUAAAAGGUGGAUCCAGUGUAAGGUCGAUUCUGUAUGUAUAUUAGUCAGAUUUGACUAGUCUAAAAGCUAACUGAGCAUCAUGGGAAAUGUAGUCCAGAAACAAUUUAUGGUGUCAAGGUUAGCCAUCACUGGCCUAAACAAUGCUUAUACUGUGACCGUACCGCCUACACACUGCUUAUACUGUGACCGUACCGCCUACACACUGCUUAUACUGUGACCGUACCGCCUACACACUGCUUAUACUGUGACCGUACCGCCUACACACUGCUUAUACUGUGAUGUUAUUUUUCCCUUCAGAUUAGAGGGAGUGCUUUACCAAUGGGAUUUCUAAUCUGGAGGGAAAAAACAGGCAGGCAAUUCUCCAAACUUUUUUAAAACCCUCCCCCUUAUUAAGCACCUUCCUAUAAAUGUCAGCUUACCAAAAACAACCCCAGUUCUUUGCCUGACUUCGGCAGAGGAGGUAUAGCAGGUUUUUCUUCAGGGAAGCAGGUGAGAAGGGCUGAGACCCUGCUUCCUUUUGUUUUGAAGCAAAAUUUUGUACGCCAGACGGCGGGUUCUUCACGAAGCUUAUAAUGUUCUGUCUCUUCCGCGCCAGGUGCCGGUCAGACGAAGGACGCAGGCGUGCGUCAGCUGGGAGGUCAUGGCGGUGGAACGCACGUACAGGUUAUGUUGCGUUCCACUGGGAAUUCGCGUAGCUCAAUGCACAUGCGCAAUGCAAUCCAAGAUUCAGGCGCCAAAUCUGAAAGUUUUUCGUUCAGUUGGUUUACAGGACUGAAACGGAGCAGAUCUGUUGCGAGUGUGUUUCUCACCUGCCCUCCAACACACUGUGAGACCAUUUAAGGUAAGACAUUUAGCUUUUAUUUUAAUGGGUCUAGCCUGAAUCAUAAAGGGAAUUAAAAUUUUCCCUUUCUCCUAUCUUUCCUCAGUAUGUCUAAUCCUGAGAUUACGGAGAAAUCGACAGAAGGGGAAAUGUUCAGCAAAAUCCAAGCAUUUAAGUUGCUCUGUAUGUUUCCAACCUAUGCCAGAUGGAUAUAAAAGGAAACUUUGUUCUCUAUGUUCCAAAGAGGCUUUAGAGGAAGCUAAAAAAACAGAAAUGUCCACGUUUCUAAGCUGGUUACAACAGAGUAUGCAGCAAACCUUUGUUGAAAUGCAAUCUGCAUCUAUGCAGUCGGCUCAGGCAUCUGUUGCUCAGGAUUUACAGGUAGUAAAACAAUCCAAGAAAAGGCUGAGAUCAUGGGAAGAUUCAGAUGCAAGCUCAGGUACUUCUGAUUCUUGUUCUAGAGAUGAUUCCUCUAGUGAUUCUUCUGAGGAGGAAUUUGCCUUUCCAGAGGAAGCCAUUGGAAAGUUUUUAAUAAAUGAAGUGCAGAACCUUAUGUUGGAUGGGAUAACAGGAAAAAGAUCUAACGUUUUCCCAUUAUAUCCACAGCUAAAGGAGUUGGUUUUAAGAGAAUGGAAAUUCCCAGGUCAUAAACCAUUUAUAUCAAAACUGCUGGAUACAGUUCCUGUAGUAGACAUUCCUAUAACUCAAAUAGGAAAGAAAACUGCGUUGCCUAUAGGUGACUCGAGUGGUUUAAGGGAUGUGAUGGAAAAGCGUAUGGACUCGUCUUUAAAGAAAAUGUUUGUUUCCUCAGUGGCUCUGGCAAAAGCCCUUAUCGCAGGAACCUCUGUGGCCAAAGCACAAAAACAUUGGCUAGAAGAACUAGAGAAGGUUUAUGAAGGAGAAUCAAAAGAAGAUCCAGUAAAGCUGUUGAAAAAUAUCAAGAUGUCUGCAGAUUUUUUGGUAGAUUCUUCUUCAGAGAGUCUGAAAUUAUCUGCUAAGAAUUUGUGUCUAACAACAGUAUCUAGGAGAGCACUUUGGCUUAGAAACUGGUCAGCUGACGCUGCAGCUAAAAAUUAUUUGUGUGACUUACCCUUUGAGUCUGGUAGACUGUUAUGGUCAAAACUGGAUCAUCUGUUAAAACAAAUGAAGGAAGGCAGGAAGGUCUUGCCUGAAACCCACAAGAAGCAGGUUUGGAACAAAAAAUGGGGAUCCAGCCUUCAGUUAGAAGUUCCUUUCGUAGGAACUAUUACAGGGGAACAGAGGAAAGUUUUCGAUUACAGAAAGAAAGAUUCACGGACAAGAGAAAUAGAAUGUUUCAAAAAGUUCUCUGGCUGGAUGGCUGAAGGAUUGUAUUCAUUUAGCUUAUUCCACAAGUAACGCAGAAAUCACAGGCUCCGUAAAGGCCCAUUCUACUAGAGCUAUAUCUACGUCCUGGGCUCUGCGAGCUGCGGCUACACCUUCCCAGAUUUGUUCAGCGGUCACAUGGUCAUCGUUUCAUACAUUCUCAAAACAUUACAGGUUAGACAUACUGGCCUCAGAAGAUGCAAUCGGAGGGAUUGCUUUUUCAUAUCCCAUUGGUAAAGCACUGCCUCUAAUCUGAAGGGAAAACAAAAUGUUUUACUUACCGUAAAUUUCUUUUUCCUGAAGAUUAGAGGAAGUGCUAUAAUUCCCCCCCUCCCCCCUUUUUUUUCUAAUAAACUCUGAAUUGUGCAUGUAACCGGCUUGUGUAUUUUCUGGAGUUGUUUUUGGUAAGCUGACAUUUAUAGGAAGGUGCUUAAUAAGGGGGAGGGUUUUAAAAAAGCUUGGAGAAUUGCCUGCCUGUUUUUUUUCCCUCCAGAUUAGAAAUCCCAUUGGUAAAGCACUGUCUCUUAUCUUCAGGAAAAAUAAAUUUACAGUAAGUAAUUUUUUUUUUAUUUUUUUUUUACAGUUCGUUUUAGUGUUUGCAGUUUCAUUAAUGUGUUAAUCACUAUCCUAUAUCUUAUGUUCUGUGUUUUCUUAGAUUUGUUGGAAGAACAAGGUGAUCCUCUCAAUUUUACACACCUUUACUGAUGGUUCCAGUGCCAGAGACAAACCCACCACCAUUAACCUCGACCUGCUGAAACAGAAGAGAUUACCUUCUUCUACAGAAAACUUCCACUUGGCUGCUUCGUAACACCUGCUGCAGACAUGACAUAACCUUCAUCUUCCACUGAUUGAGAAUCGUGGACCGCCCCAAGAGAGAUGGCGGUCCUAAUGCCAUACAGCAGGCUUCCCCAAACUCCGGCCCUACAGAUGUUGCUGAACUACAACUCCCAUGAUUCUCAGCUUAUCUAUUUCAUUCAUAGAAUCAUGGGAGUUGUAGUUCAGCAACAUCUGGAGGGCCAGAGUUUGAGGAAGCCUGCCAUACAGUCUUUCUUCACAGGUGAACUUUCUCCAUGUUGGAUACCACACUGUGACUUUUCUUAGCCAGUUUAAAAUUUUGACUUUUUUUUAUUUUUUUUCACUAUACGUAGAUUUAAAAAGAAUAGAAAUAAAGUUUAUUACUGAC
This is a non-coding RNA of Pelobates cultripes (western spadefoot toad), 11154 nucleotides long. The record is from the annotation of a GenBank genome assembly. Lineage: Eukaryota; Metazoa; Chordata; Amphibia; Anura; Pelobatidae.